AUGCGGUCGCCGGUGACGACGGGGACGACCACCACGGGUGCUAUGAGGCCACCACGGGUGCUACGAGGCCACCACUGGUGCCGGCCUCGGCGACCAUCGGCGCCGCAAGCAGAGCAGCAACGCAUGCGUGCGGAGAUAGGCCGAACUUCCACGAUGAGGUGCCAUGACUUGAUUCAACCGGCGGCUACCGGAUUUGUACCCCCGGGUUGGUGGAGCUGCAGCCACGGUGACGAGGAGCUGCAUCCGGCGAUGAUUUUUGCUGGAAGUAGUUGUUUUGUUUGCUACAAUCGACACAUAUUUUUUGGUGAUGAGAUUAUUUUGCUGGAACCACCAUUAAUUUUUGCUGGAGCUGCCUUUUUUUGUUGCUACAAUCCACUAGUAGUGUUUUUGCUCUUGAGACUUUUUUACUGGAACCAGUGAUUUGUUUUGCUGGAACUGACUUUUGUUUUUGCUACAAUCGACCUUUUUCAGAUUUGUUCUUCAGAGAAUAUUUUUUGCUGGAAACAUCUUUGCUACUACCAUAGUCUGCUUUUGCUAGAACCAGCAUUUUCAAAGGAUCCAACGGGCGGUGAUGCAGAGCUACCUUGGGUAAUUUUGUUGCAAGCGUUGACGGCGAGCAUCGGCGGUGAGCCUCGACGGCAAGCAUUUUUUGCUACGACCAUAGUCUAUUUUUGGUACCACCAUAGUCUGUUUUUGUUUGGGCAAAUAGCUCCCAUGCGACAUCUUUGAGUUGAAUUGUCUCUCAUGCGACGUCGUUGGUUGUAAUGGCUCUCAUGCGACGUCUCCCAGCGCAGAAAUAGCUCAAGCAAGACAACCCGUUUACGCGGCUAGUUGGCUGUUAGUUAGGCUGAGGUUUGGUUAGGACACCGGGGGUUAUGUGCUCUGAUUGGUGGGGUCCACCUAGGGCCACGUAGUCAAGAGUCAACCGUCCACGACUCGACCGGUGACUGUGUGAUCUUGCUCGACUCGCCCGUGCUGGACUGGGCGAGCGGCGCCAUCGUAAGCAUCUUCUCCGGCAGCGGUUUCUUCUCCGCGGUGGUGGAGCGCAUUUCUCGGUAGCGGCAGAGCUAUUGCGAGUGAGCCCGAAACCCUAGUCCCACUCCCCAGAAUUUUGGGGGAUCUGUGGCCUCAUGCUGCCCCUCUGUUUCUUGGCGAUUUAGCAUCUCGAUUGGAUCCGGGGCUGUUUCUUCUCCGCGGCCCGCCCGGUGGUGGAGCGCCUUUCUCGGCAGCGGCUAUUGCGAGUGAGUAUUUUCCAAACUCUAGUCCCAUUCCCCAAAAUUUUGGAUAAAUCUGUGGCCUCAUGCUGCCCCUGUUUCUUGACAUUUUAGAAUCUCGAUUGGAUAGGAGCGUGGGGGCUGAAUGAGAUGGAGCGAGGAGACAGUGCUUCAAAUCGGUUUUGCCACCACAUUCGCAAUUAUAGUGGAAUUUUUUCCCUGUAAAGCCAGCUCAGUGAUGGCAGUGUCCAAGACAUUGAUAGAGACACCACCGUGAGGUUGGAUGUCGAAUUUGCAGAUGUUGAUCCCCAGGAAUUGGAGAGCAUGAAGGAGAAGGCCGUGGGCAAUUUGGUGGAGAGAAGUGGGGAGAGUAUUGUUUGGGGUCCAGAACAAGAGGUAUCUCUGCAACGUUUCGAUAACUAUAAUGGUGAAUAUGUGAGAAUUGAAGAUGGAGAAUCCAUGGUUGCUGAAAUUGAUCAGCAAGAAGGGUGGGCAAGCAAACAAGUAACAUUUUAUGCUGAGCUAAUUGAUCUGCAAACUCAUUGCAGAGUUGGUUAUGUGCCAUCAAAGAUGGUUGCACAGGUGGAAGAUAAUGAGUGAGUUUCACAAAAGAAGAUGUUGGCAUUGUUGACUGAACCGACUGUAGUAGCUGAAGAUACAGGGAUUGAUGCAGAUGGAGAGGAGGGAACCCAUGGUGCUAGGAAGAUUGUUGUUGACUGGAAUGUAGUAGAGUUGAAUGAAAAAACAGAUUUGGUCAUUACACCAAUAUCUGACAUUGAUAUGGCCGAAAUGUUUGGCAUUCAAGUUGAUGACAAAGAUAAGGAGAAGCAUGACAGUUCUUUGCCUGCUGAUGGUAACACAUGCCCUAGAAAUGCAAAUGAGGAUGAAGAAGAGCUGAUGAGAGAGGCUACAGAUGAUGUGGAUGAUGCAGAUGAUAAUGAGCUGGUUUGUUUGUAUGACAAAGAGAACCCAGUUAUUGAGGUGGGAAAGUUGUGGCCAAGCAUGAAGGAGUUUAGGAUGUCUUUCAGGACCUAUGCAGUGAAAAAAGAGUUUGAUGCCAAGACUAUGUGGACUGAUCGAAAGAAAUUUUAUGCUCGGUGCAAAGGUUAUGAUGGUGGUGGCAAUCCUUGCAAAUGGUAAUUGUCUGCCAGACUACAACCUGAUGGAAGUACAGUAAGGGUAAAUCAAAUACCACACCAGCAUACAUGUAUGACCACUUCACAGAGAGUUUCAAAGAUGACAUCACAACUUUGGGUUACAGAGAAGAUUACUCCUAUUUUAGCCAAGACUCCAAACACUACUGCAAAGAGGCUUAAAGUUGACUUGGAGAAGCUGUACCCCAUCCAGCUGCAAUAUACCACAGUGUGGAAAGCAAAACAAAGGGCCAUGAAAUCAUUGUAUGGUGACUGGGCAAAUACAUUUAGGAUGUUGUAUAGUUUUAAAGCAGAGGUGGAGAAGAGGUCACCUGGAAGUGUGGUGGAGAUAGAUACAGAGGUAACAGAGGAUGGCAAGGUUUUAUUCAGCAAGUUUUUUAUGUGUUUGAAGCCUUGCAUAGAUGGAUUCAAAGCAGGUUGUCGUCCAUAUUUGAGCAUAGACUCAUCUUUUUUGACUGGAAAGUGGAAUGGUCAGUUGGCUGCAUGCAAUACUCUAGAUGGACACAACUGGAUGUUCCCAAUUGCAAUAGCACUACUAGAAAAAGGCCUACUAAUGGCGCACCUAAUCUGGCCAUUAAUGGCGCAUUAGUGGUGCACCAUUAGUAGCACGCCAUUAGUAUAUUUU
RNAcentral lists this ribosomal RNA (2993 nucleotides) under Triticum aestivum (bread wheat). Its description in RNAcentral is "partial small subunit ribosomal RNA". The record is from RNAcentral. Lineage: Eukaryota; Viridiplantae; Streptophyta; Magnoliopsida; Poales; Poaceae.